Molecule: ribosomal RNA, 253 nt
Filed under: uncultured bacterium
Lineage: Bacteria
Description: partial 16S ribosomal RNA
Rfam family: Bacterial small subunit ribosomal RNA
Source: RNAcentral
UACGUAGGGUGCAAGCGUUGUCCGGAAUUAUUGGGCGUAAAGGGCUCGUAGGCGGUUUGUCACGUCGGAUGUGAAACCCUGAGGCUCAACCUCAGGCCUGCAUUCGAUACGGGCAGACUAGAAUUCGGCAGGGGAGACUGGAAUUCCUGGUGUAGCGGUGAAAUGCGCAGAUAUCAGGAGGAACACCGAUGGCGAAGGCAGCUCGCUGGGACGGUACUGACGCUGAGGCGCGAAAGCGUGGGGAGCGAACAGG